Molecule: ribosomal RNA, 429 nt
Filed under: Gemmatimonadota bacterium
Lineage: Bacteria; Pseudomonadati; Gemmatimonadota
Description: Gemmatimonadetes bacterium partial 16S ribosomal RNA
Rfam family: Bacterial small subunit ribosomal RNA
Source: RNAcentral
UAGGGAAUCUUCGGCAAUGGACGAAAGUCUGACCGAGCAACACCGCGUGAGUGAAGAAGGUUUUCGGAUCGUAAAACUCUGUUGUUAGAGAAGAACAAGGACGUUAGUAACUGAACGUCCCCUGACGGUAUCUAACCAGAAAGCCACGGCUAACUACGUGCCAGCAGCCGCGGUAAUACGUAGGUGGCAAGCGUUGUCCGGAUUUAUUGGGCGUAAAGCGAGCGCAGGCGGUUUCUUAAGUCUGAUGUGAAAGCCCCCGGCUCAACCGGGGAGGGUCAUUGGAAACUGGGAGACUUGAGUGCAGAAGAGGAGAGUGGAAUUCCAUGUGUAGCGGUGAAAUGCGUAGAUAUAUGGAGGAACACCAGUGGCGAAGGCGGCUCUCUGGUCUGUAACUGACGCUGAGGCUCGAAAGCGUGGGGAGCAAACAGG